GGUAUUUGCUCAUUUUCCAGAUGAACCCAGGCAUGGCAGCUGUUGGAGGACACUCUCCUUUUGGGACACUCAGAGCCCAGGAAUAAGGCUGCAGCAAGUCACUGACUCGAAGUUAGGACAAAGUCAGCUGCAGAGUGCACGGUGAAAGAACAGAUACCACUAAACGCCAAGACGGGAAGAUGAGUGAUACAAGCAGCUACUGGCUAGCUGCGUUCAAGCUGCGACGCAUUCCAUUUAUUUUAAUCGCUCCUUCAUUUCGGAAGAAAGCUGGGGAGACGAGGGCAGAGCUACUUCUGCCAGCUCCGUGGGCAUCCGCAGUGCCCCGGCGUGCGGGAGCCCCCGGCGGGGCCGAGACACGAAGCGCGCAGGAGGCGGCAGCGGCAGGGCGCCCGGCCCGGCAGAGCACCUUCCUCUUCCUCCUUCUCCCCUCACAGCCUGCAUUUCG
This is a long non-coding RNA of Strigops habroptila (Kakapo), 445 nucleotides long. RefSeq lists it as uncharacterized. The transcript has 3 exons. The record is from RefSeq and is a predicted model, not a curated record. Lineage: Eukaryota; Metazoa; Chordata; Aves; Psittaciformes; Psittacidae.